AUUUUUCUUCUCAGGAGGCGAGAAUGUAGUGAGUACGAGUCGGGGUAUGGAAUGAUGGUUUUAGAGAGUUGUUUAGUAGUCCUCACCAUUUUUGUAAAAUAAUGUAUCAAUAAUUAUGAUGAAGAUUUAUUUGUAUGUGGAUAUUGUCUAGAUGGCAAUAUCUGUAUUUAAACUCACAGUUUAUAUGUUGUAACAAUAAAGUUGUAGUUAUUUCUGUACCAUGUUAUUGGCGACUCAAAAUGGGUGA
This 247-nucleotide long non-coding RNA is filed under the name Panax ginseng (ginseng). RNAcentral describes it as "long non-coding RNA (PGIN_LNC004586)". Lineage: Eukaryota; Viridiplantae; Streptophyta; Magnoliopsida; Apiales; Araliaceae. The record is from RNAcentral.